CGUACCGCCGGGGUUCUGCAGGUCAGCUCGGUGUCGGUCGCCCGGACGACCUCGCAGUCCUCGCCGCCCACCGUUACCGUGGCGACACGUCCGAGGCCGAAGCCGCUCACCGUCAGCAGGGUGCCUCCUGGGCAGGAAGUCAGAAUGAAGACGCCGAAGCUGCAGGAAGCGUUUCCUCACCUGUGACCUCUUCCACGACACACCUGGAGCUUCCCACCACGAUGGAAGCAUUUUCCCAGCUGAAUCCCGUCCCAGUGAUAGUGAUCAGCGUUCCCAGUCCGUCGGAUCCUGGAAGGGUCAGGAAUAUUAGUCCAGGUGGAAGUUUCUUUCCUCACUGGGAAAGCUGCUAAGAUCUUCUAUUCACAUUUCCGAAGAGGACCAGGCGGAGUUGCCCUGACCCCACCUGCUGCUGCAGGGACCCACCUUGAGUCGGGCUGAUCCCCGUCACCACCGGCGUCUCCUCCUCCGACCAGCGGAAGCUGCAGCGUCCGGAGCAGUUGGAGGGAAUGCCGUUGAUGUAGACCUCCACCUGCAGAGCAGCACACCUGUCUGAAACACUGCAGUUGGC
Molecule: long non-coding RNA, 568 nt
Organism: Poeciliopsis prolifica (blackstripe livebearer)
Lineage: Eukaryota; Metazoa; Chordata; Actinopteri; Cyprinodontiformes; Poeciliidae
Exons: 3
Source: RefSeq, a predicted model, not a curated record